RNAcentral lists this transfer RNA (71 nucleotides) under candidate division CPR3 bacterium GWF2_35_18. RNAcentral describes it as "tRNA-Val". It matches the Rfam family "tRNA". Rfam says of the family: Transfer RNA (tRNA) molecules are approximately 80 nucleotides in length. RNAcentral also lists the same sequence under 2 other names. The record is from RNAcentral. Lineage: Bacteria; candidate division CPR3.
UGGGAGGAAGCUCAACGGCUGAGCAUGAGAUUCACAAUCUCAGGUUGUGGGUUCAAAUCCCACCCUCCCAA